Molecule: transfer RNA, 85 nt
Filed under: Glaucocystis sp. BBH
Lineage: Eukaryota; Glaucocystophyceae; Glaucocystales; Glaucocystaceae
Description: tRNA-Ser
Rfam family: tRNA
About the family: Transfer RNA (tRNA) molecules are approximately 80 nucleotides in length. Their secondary structure includes four short double-helical elements and three loops (D, anti-codon, and T loops).
Source: RNAcentral
GGAAAGGUGGCAGAGUGGUUAAUUGCGACGAUUUCGAAAAUCGUUAUAGUUAAUUCUAUCAGGGGUUCGAAUCCCCUCCUUUCCU